Molecule: ribosomal RNA, 245 nt
Filed under: uncultured bacterium
Lineage: Bacteria
Description: partial 16S ribosomal RNA
Rfam family: Bacterial small subunit ribosomal RNA
Source: RNAcentral
UACGUAGGGGGCUAGCGUUGUCCGGAAUUACUGGGCGUAAAGGGUGCGUAGGCGGUCCUUUAAGUCAGAUGUGAAAUACCCGAGCUUAACUUGGGGGGUGCAUCUGAUACUGGGGGACUUGAGUGCAGGAGAGGAAAGUGGAAUUCCUAGUGUAGCGGUGAAAUGCGUAGAUAUUAGGAGGAACACCAGUGGCGAAGGCGACUUUCUGGACUGUAACUGACGCUGAGGCACGAAAGCGUGGGGAG